GAAAUGCGAUAAGUAAUGUGAAUUGCAGAAUUCAGUGCAUCAUCGAAUCUUUGAACGCACCUUGCGCUCCUUGGUAUUCCUUGGAGCAUGCCUGUUUGAGUAUCAUGAAAUCUUCAAAGUAAAUCUUUUGUUAACUCAAUUGGUUUCUACUUUGGUAUUGGAGGUCUUUGCAGCUUCACACCUGCUCCUCUUUGUUCAUUAGCUGGAUUUCAGUGUUAUGCUUGGUUCCACUCGGCGUGAUAAGUUAUCUAUCGCUGAGGACACUGUAAAAGGUGGCCAAGGUAAAUGCAGAUGAACCGCUUCUAAUAGUCCAUUGACUUGGACAAUACUUUUAUGAUCUGAUCUCAAAUCAGGUAGGACUACCCGCUGAACUUAAGC
RNAcentral lists this unclassified non-coding RNA (378 nucleotides) under plant metagenome. RNAcentral describes it as "partial contains 5.8S ribosomal RNA, internal transcribed spacer 2, and large subunit ribosomal RNA". The stretch from base 1 to 105 matches the Rfam family "5.8S ribosomal RNA", at positions 50 to 154 of the family's 154-position model. The record is from RNAcentral.